UACGUAGGGUGCAAGCGUUGUCCGGAAUUAUUGGGCGUAAAGAGCUCGUAGGCGGUCUGUCGCGUCGGCUGUGAAAACCCGGAGCUCAACUCCGGGCCUGCAGUCGAUACGGGCAAACUGGAGUGUUGCAGGGGAGACUGGAAUUCCUGGUGUAGCGGUGAAAUGCGCAGAUAUCAGGAGGAACACCAGUGGCGAAGGCGACUUUCUGGCCUGUUCUUGACGCUGAGGCGCGAAAGCUAGGGGAGCAAACGGG
This 253-nucleotide ribosomal RNA is filed under the name uncultured bacterium. RNAcentral's name for it is "partial 16S ribosomal RNA". It matches the Rfam family "Bacterial small subunit ribosomal RNA", at positions 524 to 776 of the family's 1533-position model. The record is from RNAcentral.